CCUACGGGAGGCAGCAGUGGGGAAUAUUGCACAAUGGGGGAAACCCUGAUGCAGCGACGCCGCGUGAGUGAAGAAGUAUUUCGGUACGUAAAGCUCUAUCAGCAGUGAAGAAAAUGACGGUACCUGACUAAGACGCCCCGGCUAACUACGUGCCAGCAGCCGCGGUAAUACGUAGGGGGCAAGCGUUAUCCGGAUUUACUGGGUGUAAAGGGAGCGUAGACGGCAGCGCAAGUCUGGAGUGAAAUCCCAUGGCUUAACCAUGGAACUGCUUUGGAAACUGUGCAGCUAGAGUGCAGGAGAGGUAAGCGGAAUUCCUAGUGUAGCGGUGAAAUGCGUAGAUAUUAGGAGGAACACCAGUGGCGAAGGCGGCUUACUGGACUGUAACUGACGUUGAGGCUCGAAAGCGUGGGGAGCAAACAGGAUUAGAUACCCGAGUAGUC
This 440-nucleotide ribosomal RNA is filed under the name uncultured bacterium. Its description in RNAcentral is "partial 16S ribosomal RNA". It matches the Rfam family "Bacterial small subunit ribosomal RNA", at positions 338 to 795 of the family's 1533-position model. The record is from RNAcentral.